This 253-nucleotide ribosomal RNA is filed under the name uncultured bacterium. RNAcentral describes it as "partial 16S ribosomal RNA". It matches the Rfam family "Bacterial small subunit ribosomal RNA", at positions 524 to 776 of the family's 1533-position model. The record is from RNAcentral.
UACGUAGGGACCAAGCGUUGUUCGGAUUUACUGGGCGUAAAGGGCGCGUAGGCGGCUUUACAAGUCACUUGUGAAAUCUCCGGGCUUAACUCGGAACGGCCAAGUGAAACUGUCAUGCUAGAGUGCAGAAGGGGCAAUCGGAAUUCUUGGUGUAGCGGUGAAAUGCGUAGAUAUCAAGAGGAACACCUGAGGCGAAGACGGGUUGCUGGGCUGACACUGACGCUGAGGCGCGAAAGCCAGGGGAGCAAACGGG